UCUCCGUAGGUGAACCUGCGGAGGGAUCAUUACUGAGUGAGGGCUUCGGUCCGACCUCCAACCCUUUGUGAAUCAAACUUGUUGCUUCGGGGGCGACCCUGCCGCUUCGGCGGUGCGGCGCCCCCGGAGGCCAUUAAACACUGCAUCAUUGCGUCGGAGUUAAAGUAAAUUAAACAACACUUUCAACCACGGAUCUCUUGGUUCCAGCCUCGAUGAAGAACGCAGC
Molecule: unclassified non-coding RNA, 226 nt
Filed under: uncultured fungus
Lineage: Eukaryota; Fungi
Description: sequence contains ITS1, 5.8S rRNA gene
Rfam family: 5.8S ribosomal RNA (bases 178-226)
Source: RNAcentral